GUCUACGGCUAUACCACCCUGACCACGCCCGAUCUCUUUUGAUCUCGGAAGCUAAGCAGGGUCAGGCCUGGUUAGUACUUGAAUGGGAGAAAAUGGCCUCAUUUUACAACUUAGACUAGGAUUCGUUCAUU
RNAcentral lists this ribosomal RNA (131 nucleotides) under Pteropus alecto (black flying fox). The record is from RNAcentral. Lineage: Eukaryota; Metazoa; Chordata; Mammalia; Chiroptera; Pteropodidae.